UCUGGUGACGAUGGCAAAGAGGUCACACCCGUUCCCAUACCGAACACGGAAGUUAAGCUCUUUAGCGCCGAUGGUAAUUGGGGGUUUCCCCCUGUGAGAGUAGGACGUUGCCAGGC
This 116-nucleotide ribosomal RNA is filed under the name Planococcaceae bacterium Storch 2/2-2. RNAcentral also lists the same sequence under 1 other name. The record is from RNAcentral. Lineage: Bacteria; Bacillati; Bacillota; Bacilli; Caryophanales; Caryophanaceae.